AAACCAGCACCUCAAGUGGUCAGGAGGAUUAUCGGGCCUAAAGCAUCCGUAGCCUGUUCUGUAAGUUUUCGGUUAAAUCCAUUAGCUCAACUAAUGGGCCGCCGAAAAUACUGUAGAACUAGGGAGUGGGAGAGGUAGACGGUAUUCGGUAGGAAGGGGUAAAAUCCUUUGAUCUAUUGAGGACCACCUGUGGCGAAGGCGGUCUACCAGAACACGUUCGACGGUGAGGGAUGAAAGCUGGGGGAGCAAACCGGAUUAGAAACCCCGGUAGUCC
This 274-nucleotide ribosomal RNA is filed under the name uncultured bacterium. Its description in RNAcentral is "partial 16S ribosomal RNA". It matches the Rfam family "Archaeal small subunit ribosomal RNA", at positions 473 to 747 of the family's 1478-position model. The record is from RNAcentral.